GUGCUCAUUUUGGUAGCACAUACACUAAAAUCGGAAUGAUACAGAGAUUAGCAUAGCUCCUGCCCAAAGAUAGCAAGUACAUUUGUGAAGCGUUCCAUAAUUUU
Molecule: small nuclear RNA, 104 nt
Organism: Otolemur garnettii (small-eared galago)
Lineage: Eukaryota; Metazoa; Chordata; Mammalia; Primates; Galagidae
Source: Ensembl